Prionailurus viverrinus (fishing cat) is the source of this 894-nucleotide long non-coding RNA. RefSeq lists it as uncharacterized. Lineage: Eukaryota; Metazoa; Chordata; Mammalia; Carnivora; Felidae. The transcript is spliced from 3 exons. The record is from RefSeq and is a predicted model, not a curated record.
GAGCGAGGAACCUGACAAACAUUUCCUACAACGUGGACUUCAGAGAAAACAAUUUUGUGACAGUUUUGUCCUUGAGCUACGUGUCAAGCUCUGUGCUGUUUUGCCUGCGCCGGGUCCUUGUAAACCUCACUCAAAUGAGGCAGCCUGUGCCAACCAUCUGCAAAUCCUGUGGCUUCUACAUCCACAAGUGUCCAGAAUCCACCCGCUUCUCACUACGGCCACGGAUACCGGCAUUAUCAAAGGGCGUCAUCUCUCAACUGAAUCACCGAAAGAGUCUCUUACUUGGCCGUGGUUGCCCCCUCUAGUCUCUUCUGAACACAAUAGCUGUACUGAUCUCUUUGAAAGAACGCGGUCUUACUGAGUGGUUUCGGCCUCAGCUGUCCUUUGUGAUUAAAAAAAAAGACCCUCGCCGGAACAGAAUGUGACAACCUGUGCUUCAACGUCAGUCCAAAUCCUACGGUGUUCUCCUGGCAGAACUCCUGGCAUUCAGAUGCUUCAAAGGUUUGGGAUGUAGCGACAGAACUUGUAUUUGGUCUCCUCCGGACUUCUGGAACUUACACUUUGUGCUUGGAUUGGAGUCGUUCUCGGUGUUGCUCACUCAUCUGGCACGCGGCUUUCUGAACUGUGCAAGAAGAUUUCACCUUCCCGAGGAAGGACUCCAUCAUGUCUUGAAGACUUUCUUGAACUCCUCACUGCAACUACACUGAGUCUGGCGAUCGAUAGGUCAUCAAUAAAUAUGAGAUGAAUGAAAGUGAAUACCUGAUAUUCGGAGAUACUGUCAAAUAUCUUUCUCUGGUUGAUUAAGAGCCUCCGUUUCAACAAAACUGUUUUCUUUUUUUUGAAAACUUUAUUACUACAGAAAAUUUAGACAGAAGUUGUAUGACAGACCCAUGU